Molecule: ribosomal RNA, 437 nt
Filed under: uncultured bacterium
Lineage: Bacteria
Description: partial 16S ribosomal RNA
Rfam family: Bacterial small subunit ribosomal RNA
Source: RNAcentral
AGAGAACGCUGGCGGCAGGCUUAACACAUGCAAGUCGAGCGGGCAUCCUUGUGGUGUCAGCGGCAGACGGGUGAGUAACGCGUGGGAACGUGCCCUUCGGUUCGGAAUAACUCAGGGAAACUUGAGCUAAUACCGGAUACGUGCGAGAGCAGAAAGGUUUAUCUGCCGAAGGAUCGGCCCGCGUCUGAUUAGCUAGUUGGUGAGGUUACGGCUCACCAAGGCGACGAUCAGUAGCUGGUCUGAGAGGAUGAUCAGCCACACUGGGACUGAGACACGGCCCAGACUCCUACGGGAGGCAGCAGUGGGGAAUAUUGGACAAUGGGGGCAACCCUGAUCCAGCCAUGCCGCGUGAGUGAUGACGGCCUUAGGGUUGUAAAGCUCUUUUCUCCGGGACGAUAAUGACGGUACCGGAGGAAUAAGCCCCGGCUAACUUCGUG